GAUGAACGCUGGUGGCGUGCCUAACACAUGCAAGUCGAGCGAUUCUCUUCGGAGAAGAGCGGCCUACGGGUGAGUAACGCGUGGGUAACCUGCCCUGUACACCCGGACUAUAUACCGAAAGUAACUCUAAUAAGAGAUAACAUGCUUUUAUCGCAUUGUAGAAGCAUCAAAGGCUUUGCGGUACAGGAUGGACCCUCUUCGGUUUAGCUAGUUGCUGAGGUAAUGGCCCACCAAGGCGACGAUCAGCAUACGAGCUGAGAGAGUGAUCGGCGACAUUGGAAGGGGGACACGGUCCAAACUCCUACGGGAGGCGGCAGUGGGGAAUAGUGCACAGUGGGCGAAAGGCUGAUGCAGCACCGCCGCGUGAGCGAUGAAGGCCUGCGAGUCGUAAAGCGCUGUCCUCAAGGAAGAUAAUGACGGUACUUGAGGAGGAAGCCCCGGCUAACUACGUG
RNAcentral lists this ribosomal RNA (452 nucleotides) under uncultured bacterium. RNAcentral's name for it is "partial 16S ribosomal RNA". It matches the Rfam family "Bacterial small subunit ribosomal RNA", at positions 28 to 507 of the family's 1533-position model. The record is from RNAcentral.